GAGAACCAAAUCCUGUGGGAGGUAGAUGGAGGCUAUGCGACUGCACAACUCUAUUCUCUCAAGCAAAGGAGACCUGGACAAAAGCGGAGCUGCUCAGGCGGGAAGUGUAACCUGCAGUUUCCCGUGGGUCCAGCCCUGACCAUGAACGAAAAUAGCCACAGCGGGGGAUGCACAGAAAGGCGGAAGUGAAGCCGCAGAGAAAGCCAGCCAGGAACUGCAGCACGCAGGCCGGCCUCAGGAGGGUACUCACGGGGCACUGAGGGUGCCCCAAUUAAAUGCCUUUUCUCUCCCUCUCCUUUCCCACCCUAAUUACUCAAUAGUUCUCCUUCCACAGAAAAUCCUGUUGCUUACUGUGCUAAAUCAGGUUAAAGAUCAAUUUUCCCAGGUUUA
This is a long non-coding RNA of Hyaena hyaena (striped hyena), 390 nucleotides long. RefSeq lists it as uncharacterized. The transcript is spliced from 2 exons. The record is from RefSeq and is a predicted model, not a curated record. Lineage: Eukaryota; Metazoa; Chordata; Mammalia; Carnivora; Hyaenidae.